ACGUCCUUUGCCGCGCUCAACUCGCAAUCACGCUCCCGUUGCCUGAGUUUUUAGAGCUGGAUGCGGUCCCACCUUUGCUUCUAGGUCUUAUGAUCAGGAGACGAAAGUGGACGCGCAUGGACGAGAGGAAUUGACCGAUGGUCUUUGAGUACGACGCAGUCUUUUUGCACAGUGGUUGUAUGUCGUAAUUUACCUCCGGCACAAUU
RNAcentral lists this small nucleolar RNA (206 nucleotides) under Dothideomycetidae sp. 11243. The record is from RNAcentral. Lineage: Eukaryota; Fungi; Ascomycota; Dothideomycetes.